GUGGGGAAUUUUGGACAAUGGGCGCAAGCCUGAUCCAGCAAUGCCGCGUGCAGGAAGAAGGCCUUCGGGUUGUAAACUGCUUUUGUACGGAACGAAACGGUCCGGGUUAAUACCCUGGGCUAAUGACGGUACCGUAAGAAUAAGCACCGGCUAACUACGUGCCAGCAGCCGCGGUAAUACGUAGGGUGCAAGCGUUAAUCGGAAUUACUGGGCGUAAAGCGUGCGCAGGCGGUUUUGUAAGACAGGCGUGAAAUCCCCGGGCUCAACCUGGGAAUUGCGCUUGUGACUGCAAGGCUGGAGUGCGGCAGAGGGGGAUGGAAUUCCGCGUGUAGUAGUGAAAUGCGUAGAUAUGCGGAGGAACACCGAUGGCGAAGGCAAUCCCCUGGGCCUGCACUGACGCUCAUGCACGAAAGCGUGGGGAGCAAACAGGAUUAGAUACCCUUGUAGUCC
RNAcentral lists this ribosomal RNA (450 nucleotides) under uncultured bacterium. Its description in RNAcentral is "partial 16S ribosomal RNA". It matches the Rfam family "Bacterial small subunit ribosomal RNA", at positions 354 to 796 of the family's 1533-position model. The record is from RNAcentral.